This 93-nucleotide non-coding RNA is filed under the name marine eukaryotic metagenome. RNAcentral describes it as "Pyrrolysine insertion sequence mttB". It matches the Rfam family "Pyrrolysine insertion sequence mttB". The record is from RNAcentral.
GGCGGAUGCGAAAAUGCCCGAUGCGCAAUCCGGCUAUGAAAAGGGCAGCACGGCGGUGAUGGCGGGCUUGGCGGGGCUGAACAUGGUUUACGA